RNAcentral lists this ribosomal RNA (499 nucleotides) under uncultured bacterium. Its description in RNAcentral is "partial 16S ribosomal RNA". It matches the Rfam family "Bacterial small subunit ribosomal RNA", at positions 30 to 523 of the family's 1533-position model. The record is from RNAcentral.
AUUGAACGCUGGCGGUAUGCUUAACACAUGCAAGUCGAACGAUGAGAAAGAGCUUGCUCUUUCGAUUAGUGGCGGACGGGUGCGUAACGCGUAGGAAUCUACCUAUUAGUGGGGGACAACUUAGGGAAACUUAAGCUAAUACCGCAUACGCCCUACGGGGGAAAGAAGGGGAUCGCAAGACCUUUUGCUAAUAGAUGAGCCUGCGUAGGAUUAGCUAGUUGGUGAGGUAAAAGCUCACCAAGGCGACGAUCCUUAACUGGUUUGAGAGAAUGAUCAGUCACACUGGAACUGAGACACGGUCCAGACUCCUACGGGAGGCAGCAGUGGGGAAUAUUGGACAAUGGGCGAAAGCCUGAUCCAGCAAUACCGCGUGUGUGAAGAAGGCCUUAGGGUUGUAAAGCACUUUCAAUUGGAAGGAAAACCUCGAAGCUAAUACCUUCGAGUUUGACAUUACCUUUAGAAGAAGCACCAGCUAACUCCGUGCCAGCCGCCGCCGUAA